CGGAGCCACCGCCCGGCCAGGUAGGGCAGCCGCCCGGGCUCGACCGCCUCGAAUCACUUCCAUGAAACUCUUCUCUCCCUCAACACAAUGAACAACGACAACUCUUUUUCACUCUUCACGGGAUCCAUUGAGUUCGAAGGAGUUUGUUUAAUUAGCGUCAUAUCUUCUUCUUCAAAAUUUAUACCCACAGUAAGCAUUGCAUAUUGCUUAUUUCUUAUUUCUGUUGAUUGUAUUCAUCCCCCCAAGUGUUUGAUGAAUUGCUUGAUUAUACUAUGUUUGUAAUUGAUUAUUUUUGUUUAUACAUUGGUCAUGGCAUUGGUAUCGAAUUGUUAUCGUUACCACCGUUUUGCAACUUGCACACCAAGUGUUCGGAAAGAAAGAAGUAUUAAAACAAACUCUUUUAUUCUGGAGUCAUAUCCGCCAUGUGAUAAUGUCGAGAUUUUGAAGCAAGCUCUUUUAAUAAACAAAGUGAGUUACAACUUACAAGUUACAAGGUUGGAUUUAUUUGUGUUUCAGCUCACACCAACUAGAAACGGGUAACAUUUAUCAGUGAUAGUUAGGGACUUGAUAAAGUGCUUAAUUUUCUUCUAGUGUAGCUAAAGUUCAGACAUAAUAUUGUAUCAGUUUAUUAGGUGAGCAAUUGUUAGUUGUGCUGAAAAUAUCCUUGAAAUAGGAUAUGAUGUAUUUCUCUGAUUGAUCAGGGUCUUCAUUGUUAUAUGUUGUCUACCAAAUGAUGAAUGUGAUGUGCCUCUGAUGUGGCUUGUGCAGCGUUUAUAUUUAUGUUCCAGAUCUGAAGUGCAUCUUAUAGUCUUCUCAAUUUAUGCUGAAUUUUGGUCAAUGGGGUUCUUCUAGCAGGUAGGGUCCAAUUUAUAUCUAUCACUAAUAUAGUCCUCAUGGUUAUACUGGGUUUUAAACAAUUUGAUAGAAAAUUGACAUAUGUGCUAUCUGAUUUACUGGCUGACAAAUAUAGGGUGAUUAUGAGAUCAAUUCUGUUGGUCAUAUAUCCUUUGGUAACUAGUUAUAGAAAUAGAGUUUAAAAAAUGAGAAAAGUUACUGAAGGAACUAUAUUUUGUUUUUACAUAUGCUAUGAUUUUUAUGUCACUUAUUAAUCUCUUCCUAUGGGUUAAUUGAUUAAGUGAUUUUGUGCUCCUAUGUAAAUUAUAUGAUUGGUUAUUACUGUGAAUGGAAAGAAGAAGAGGUUUGUUUAACCUCUUUCAAUGCUGAUAAAUGUAUUGAUUACAUUCAUGAGACAAAUGUAUUUAGUUUCCUCUUUCUUGCAUUUGCAUGUGGUUUGGAUUAUAAACCGGUAAGAGGAGACUGUUGGGUUCACACAAAAAUAUAUAGAAUGUGAAUUUGCGGUGUUUAAAUUUUGAUUGAUAACUAUUUAUAUAUUAUAUAC
Molecule: RNA transcript, 1399 nt
Organism: Vicia villosa (hairy vetch)
Lineage: Eukaryota; Viridiplantae; Streptophyta; Magnoliopsida; Fabales; Fabaceae
Exons: 3
Source: RefSeq, a predicted model, not a curated record